Molecule: ribosomal RNA, 491 nt
Filed under: uncultured bacterium
Lineage: Bacteria
Description: bacterial SSU rRNA
Rfam family: Bacterial small subunit ribosomal RNA
Source: RNAcentral
UCAGUUGUGAAAGUUUGCGGCUCAACCGUAAAAUUGCAGUUGAUACUGGGCGCCUUGAGUGCAGCAUAGGUAGGCGGAAUUCGUGGUGUAGCGGUGAAAUGCUUAGAUAUCACGAAGAACUCCGAUUGCGAAGGCAGCUUACUGGACUGUAACUGACGCUGAUGCUCGAAAGUGUGGGUAUCAAACAGGAUUAGAUACCCUGGUAGUCCACACAGUAAACGAUGAAUACUCGCUGUUGGCGAUACACAGUCAGCGGCCAAGCGAAAGCAUUAAGUAUUCCACCUGGGGAGUACGCCGGCAACGGUGAAACUCAAAGGAAUUGACGGGGGCCCGCACAAGCGGAGGAACAUGUGGUUUAAUUCGAUGAUACGCGAGGAACCUUACCCGGGCUUAAAUUGCAGUGGAAUGUAGUGGAAACAUUACAGCCUUCGGGCCGCUGUGAAGGUGCUGCAUGGUUGUCGUCAGCUCGUGCCGUGAGGUGUCGGCUUAAG